Molecule: ribosomal RNA, 1114 nt
Filed under: Bacillus toyonensis
Lineage: Bacteria; Bacillati; Bacillota; Bacilli; Caryophanales; Bacillaceae
Description: bacterial SSU rRNA
Rfam family: Bacterial small subunit ribosomal RNA
Source: RNAcentral
GACCGGCCACACUGGGACUGAGACACGGCCCAGACUCCUACGGGAGGCAGCAGUGGGGAAUAUUGCACAAUGGGCGGAAGCCUGAUGCAGCAACGCCGCGUGAGGGAUGACGGCCUUCGGGUUGUAAACCUCUUUUAGCAGGGAAGAAGCGAAAGUGACGGUACCUGCAGAAAAAGCACCGGCUAACUACGUGCCAGCAGCCGCGGUAAUACGUAGGGUGCAAGCGUUAUCCGGAAUUAUUGGGCGUAAAGAGCUCGUAGGCGGUUUGUCGCGUCUGCUGUGAAAUCCCGAGGCUCAACCUCGGGCCUGCAGUGGGUACGGGCAGACUAGAGUGCGGUAGGGGAGAUUGGAAUUCCUGGUGUAGCGGUGGAAUGCGCAGAUAUCAGGAGGAACACCGAUGGCGAAGGCAGAUCUCUGGGCCGUAACUGACGCUGAGGAGCGAAAGGGUGGGGAGCAAACAGGCUUAGAUACCCUGGUAGUCCACCCCGUAAACGUUGGGAACUAGUUGUGGGGUCCUUUCCACGGAUUCCGUGACGCAGCUAACGCAUUAAGUUCCCCGCCUGGGGAGUACGGCCGCAAGGCUAAAACUCAAAGGAAUUGACGGGGACCCGCACAAGCGGCGGARCAUGCGGAUUAAUUCGAUGCAACGCGAAGAACCUUACCAAGGCUUGACAUACACGAGAACGGGCCAGAAAUGGUCAACUCUUUGGACACUCGUGAACAGGUGGUGCAUGGUUGUCGUCAGCUCGUGUCGUGAGAUGUUGGGUUAAGUCCCGCAACGAGCGCAACCCUCGUUCUAUGUUGCCAGCACGUAAUGGUGGGAACUCAUGGGAUACUGCCGGGGUCAACUCGGAGGAAGGUGGGGAUGACGUCAAAUCAUCAUGCCCCUUAUGUCUUGGGCUUCACGCAUGCUACAAUGGCCGGUACAAAGGGCUGCAAUACCGUGAGGUGGAGCGAAUCCCAAAAAGCCGGUCCCAGUUCGGAUUGAGGUCUGCAACUCGACCUCAUGAAGUCGGAGUCGCUAGUAAUCGCAGAUCAGCAACGCUGCGGUGAAUACGUUCCCGGGUCUUGUACACACCGCCCGUCAAGUCAUGAAAGUCGGUAACACCUGAAG